RNAcentral lists this ribosomal RNA (229 nucleotides) under uncultured bacterium. RNAcentral's name for it is "partial 16S ribosomal RNA". It matches the Rfam family "Bacterial small subunit ribosomal RNA", at positions 568 to 796 of the family's 1533-position model. The record is from RNAcentral.
UACGUAGGCGGAAAAUUAAGUCAGUGGUGAAAUCCUGCAGCUUAACUGUAGAACUGUCAUUGAUGCUGGUUUUCUUGAAUACAGUUGAGGUAGGCGGAAUGUGUAAUGUAGCGGUGAAAUGCUUAGAUAUUACACAGAACACCGAUUGCGAAGGCAGCUUACUAAACUGUUAUUGACGCUGAGGUACGAAAGCGUGGGGAGCGAACAGGAUUAGAUACCCUGGUAGUCC